AGCUCAGGAGACACUCAGUUUGGAUUAAGAGAUCUUUUGCCAGGACACCCAUCAGAAGCAGGAGGCCAUGAGCCAGGAGGUGCUGGAUUAGAAUUAGAAGCCAGGAAACUGUGAGUUCUAUCCUAGCUGUAGGCACCAAAGCCAGCUGCCUGAUUUUGGACUGGUCUCCGCCUCUCAAUCCCAAGAGCCAGAAUCAAAUAAUGCCGAAGGUUAUUCCCUCUCAGCUGUGGAAAUUCCCUGGCGGGAGGCAGGGCUAGUCCUCCCUUAGCCCUAGGAAGCUCUUCCCAAAGAUGCUGCCAAGAAAGCUGUAUAGUCUUGUCUCUGAGUUGCCAGAAGUUGAGGCUGCCUCCAAGGCAGACCCACAGAAAAUUAUUUGGUUCCUAGUCAGGCUUGUUCCCCAUUAUUCACCUUCUCUUUGCUCUCCUGUGCCAAGAUUCCUGUGGUGUGUGUGUGGGUGUGUGUGUGCGCGCAUCUUGAUUAUUGCAGGGUGCAAAAUCCCAUUUCUCCCCUCCCACUCGCCCCCAAGGGAAAGAUGUUUCCAGAAGGGUUCUGCUGACACAGGAUGAUGGGCCUCUACUUGCAUGGCUGUCAGAACAAGGGAGAUCUCGGAAACGGUUUCCGAUGGGAAGGUUAUGAAAACAGUCACUUAGGUAAUGUCUUGGUUGACAUGAAACUCAUAGAUGUAAAAGAUACUUUGCCUGUCGGCUUCAUCCCAAUUCAAGAGACUAUGGAUACAC
This is a non-coding RNA of Thamnophis sirtalis, 737 nucleotides long. NCBI's taxonomy places the organism in Eukaryota, Metazoa, Chordata, Lepidosauria, Squamata, Natricidae. The record is from RefSeq and is a predicted model, not a curated record.